UUGAAGUUAUGAGAAUAAAAUCUUUGUUUCUGUCUCUACAGAGAAGGUUGAGUGAAGAACAUGUUUAUAAUUCUCAUGUUUCUCUACAGUAAGAAAUCCUGCUAUUCAAGCACAUCUUCAGUGUGUCGACAUGAGAGUUGUUCGGGUUUCCCAAUUGCAUCAAACACAUGGGCAUUUAUUCUAUGCUGAAGCACCAAACAAGGAUGUAUGCUAUGGCGACGCUGGUGGAGCAGUGGUGUACAACGACAUGAUUUAUGGUGUGACUUAUUUUAGUGGAAGAGACUCUGUAUGUCAGAAACCAACUGCAAUCUUUGAUGUGUGUGCAUACCUGUGGUGGAUAAAACAAACAAUUGGGCUUAAAUAAAACAUGAACUAUCAUGUAAUAAAAAUCUCAUCAAAUUUCGUCUCACAUAUAAUUUUAUAAUUGUAUCUUCAUCAGUUUGAUCCACAUCUUUGUAGAAUUAGAAUAAAUCAAUAGGUUUUUUUUCUCACCUGAUUUUGACCUCCAUAAUGGAGCUUUCUCUGCAUCAGAAAUGAAAAAUAAAUCAAUAAAUGCAUGAAAAAGAAA
Long non-coding RNA from Xiphophorus hellerii (green swordtail), 568 nucleotides. RefSeq lists it as uncharacterized. Lineage: Eukaryota; Metazoa; Chordata; Actinopteri; Cyprinodontiformes; Poeciliidae. The transcript is spliced from 2 exons. The record is from RefSeq and is a predicted model, not a curated record.